GGAAUCUUGGACAAUGGGGGCAACCCUGAUCCAGCGACGCCGCGUGGGUGAUGAAGGCCUUCGGGUUGUAAAGCCCUUUCACCGGGGACGAUGAUGACGGUACCCGGAGAAGAAGCACCGGCUAACUCCGUCCCAGCAGCCGCGGUAAGACGGAGGGUGCUAGCGUUGUUCGGAAUCACGGGGAGUAAAGGGCGCGUAGGCGGCGGAUCAAGUCGGCUUGUGAAAGCCCGGGGCUCAACCUCGGAGGUGCAGCCGAGACUGCGGUGCUCGAGGCCGGAAGAGGAGGGUGGAAUACCCAGUGUAGAGGUGAAAUUCGUAGAUAUUGGGUGGAACACCGGUGGCGAAAGCGGCUCUCUGGUCCGGUACUGACGCUGAGGCGCGAAAGCGUGGGGAGCAAAC
This 399-nucleotide ribosomal RNA is filed under the name uncultured bacterium. RNAcentral's name for it is "bacterial SSU rRNA". It matches the Rfam family "Bacterial small subunit ribosomal RNA", at positions 358 to 773 of the family's 1533-position model. The record is from RNAcentral.